Long non-coding RNA from Felis catus (domestic cat), 8103 nucleotides. RefSeq lists it as uncharacterized. The transcript is spliced from 2 exons. Lineage: Eukaryota; Metazoa; Chordata; Mammalia; Carnivora; Felidae. The record is from RefSeq and is a predicted model, not a curated record.
UGAGCCGUCAAUGCCGAGCCUGACGCGGGGCUCGGACUCACGGACCCCGAGCUCACGAUCUGAGCCGAAGUCGAGUCAGAAGCUUGACCAGCCGAGCCCCCCAGGCUCCCCUCAAAGGAUUUUUUUCGAAAGUGGUGCGUCUGUCUUCGGAGCCCCUGUGAACGAGGCGGUGCCAUUCUGUGGCGUCUACACGUGGACGUGGCCCCGUGGCCUGGUUCUGCCGUCUGCUGCCCUUUGAUGUUGCUGAGCCUGAGGCCGCUCUGCGUUUCGUCCCUCUGAAGGUAGCCUCCUCUCCCUGUCUAGAUGCUUUUGGAUUUUUUUUUCCCCUUUAUUUUUGGAAUUCACGUUCUGGCAUGCUCCAAGGCGCGGCGGACACCUGAAAUGCCGGUGCUCACGGUUCCCGUAAAGCAUUCCUGAGGAACGACGAGGACGUUCGGGCGUCUCAGCCAUCAAGUGCCCGUGCGGUCCGGCGUGCAGAUGAGCGGCUGCCCGGGUGUGGCCUUAGCGUGACCUGAGCCAGGACCCCCUCGUCCGGCAGCCGGGUGGGGUGCUGAGCCCCUCUGUGCACCUGGGUUUUUAACCGUUUUCUUCCAGGGGGUCCAGAGAGCGUCCGGACCAAGCUGCGCUCCUCAGGAGCCCUGGCUGAGGGCGGCGGGGGCGGGCGCCCCAGGUGACAGGGACGUGGGCCCUGCUGCCUGCUGACUGGCUUUGUCGUGACGGCUUCCAGUUCCGGGGCUGGGGGGGGGGGCUGUGUCAGGGAGCAGGGGCUGCCUGGAUGCGUGAUGUCGCGGGACGCACGUGUAACGGCCCCGACUUCCAGAUGCCGUGCUUGCACGCGAGGAAACUGAGGUGCGGUGAGGGGGCUGGUUUGCUCAGGUCCUGGAGCACCUGGCGGUGACCGGGCCCCGGGGCUCCUGAGCUCCCUCCGGGCGCGUCCCCUGCCCUCCGUGUCCCUGAGCGAGCGCAAGACCUCUCCCACGGGGCGGCAGAGAACGCCCAGCCGAGCCCUCGGGAGCUCGGCCCGGUUCCUGCUUCCCGGGGAGGCCAGGGCCGCCCGGCGUGUCUCGCUCUGGUAACUGAAGCUGCAUCCGGGCGAGGAGGCCACAGGGCCACUUCCCGGAAGGGGACGGUCCUGGCGCACUGGGGGACAAGGACCAGAGACACGGGUGCAGACUCACCUCAGUGCCGUUCCUCGGGGGCGCUGAAGGCAUCCGCCAGUGGACGCUUCCCCAGCGACGUCCCCGUGCCGUGACGGCUCCGGUGAGUUUCCAGGCGCACCCAGCCCGCACCAGCGGCGGCCGGGUCCCUCGGGCUGGCCCUGAAGACGACUGCGGGCCCCGGGUGGGGCGCUGGGCCGGCACACCCAGACGUGUGCGACAAAUGCCACCGUGUGGUGGCCAAGCCGGGCCGGGCUGGCGAUCCCCGCGUGCUUUCGCACCGAUGGCUCCCGUUCCCUUGUUAAGACUGAAGACACGGGGGACAGAGAGGUGAAGGGACUUUGUCGAGUGUGCUGUGUGGUCAGGUUGGACUCCCUGUGGCAACCUGCCCCAGUCGGGCCCCUUCUGAGCCGUGGCCUUGGCUGGUAGCGUCGGGGACCCGGCUCCUGGGGUCAGGCAUGUUCCAGGGCGUGGUGCUCGUGCAGGAGCACAGGGCCGUGACCUCCUGGCCCACCUUGCCCCAGAGCAGGUCUGGGCCUGGAGCGGAACCUCGGUUCCCCCAUCCGGCCCGCUGGCACACGUGGAAAACUGGCAUUUUUGGGAAAUGAGUUCUUACUAAGAACUAAAGGAUGGGGCCCCUGGGUGGCUCAGUCGGUUAAGCGUCUGACUCUCGGUUUCGGCUUAGGUCGUGAUCUCAUGGUUCAGUCGGGCUCUGUGCUGACUGCUCAGAGUCCGCUUGGGAUUCUCUCUCUCCUUCUCUCUCCCUUCCUCUCUCUGUCUCCCUCUCUCCCCUCCUCGUUCUCUGUCUCUGUCUCAAAAUAAAUAAACAUUUAGAAAGAAGACAAAAGAAAUAAAGGGAAACAGCAAUCUGGAAACGGGCGUGUGAACCAAGGGCAGAGGGCUGAUGCUGAGCCUGUGUGGUGCUGACUCCCCACCCGCUUCCCCGGGGCUCCCCAUGCUGACCCUCCUCCUUCGUUCCCCCUCAGCAUGUCUGGCUGGCCCAGACUUUCCCAGGCCUCCCAGCAGGUCGUCUGGUGUCCUCGGGCCCUCCCAGAAGUUUCUGCACCCCUCCUCUGGCAGUGGGCCCUAAGCACGGGCCCCCUGAGGGGCUGCAGGAGGCCCACCCUGAACGAGGAGGACGUGGGUGGCCAGGCAGAGUCUGCCCUGGAGCAGGCUCAGGGGCGCCCUUCGGCGGCCCCAGGCCCAGAGCGGCUUCUCUGCACACCUUGGGACCAGAACCCUCCCCGCAUGGACCGCCCGUGGUUUUCUAGUUGAAAACCGGCGGGUGUUUGAGGUCUGCACUCAGCAUGUCCCGGAUGCGCAAGCUCGGGGCAGGUGUACGUCGGGGUAGGUUCACACCUGCUGUCCUCCUGUCAGUCUUUCUCCGUGGGCCUCACUGUGGUGACAUCAGUGGGAUUGAACCCCACCAGCUCAGAAAACAGUCCACGCGUGGGGGUAGAGGGCCUGCCCUCGGUUCCUGCCUGCGCUCGGCUCCCUCUGCCCUGUGUCCCCAUCCGGGCCUGGCCUCCCUCGGAUUCCCCGAUUCCCCGUCGUCCGUCCUCCCCUGUGUCUGCUUGACCUGCGGGUGCCACCUGGGCUCUCCCCUUCGCUCCUCAACGCUUAGCAAUUCAACGCUUAGCAAUUCGGCCUCUGCUCCCCUCUCUGCAAAGCCGCUUCCUGAGGGCCCCCCACCAGGGAUGCAGCCAGCAUCAGCCUGCGACCACCCCCUCCCUCCUCCCUCCUCCCUCCUCCCUCCUCCCUCCUCCCUCCUCCGUCUCCCGCCUCUGGCCCCGCCCUAUCUGUGGUGCCUCCUCCCUCUUCUGAUCCUGGCGGUUCUCUCUCUCCUCUGCUGGCCUAUGUCCUCUCUCUCCCUGUCCCCUGGCCAGUGUGUCCUGAGGUGACGGGGCUGACUUCUGAAUGUUCUUGCUUCUCUGCACGGGUGUCCCACAGGCUCCCCCCGACUGGCCUCGUCCUCGCCGGCAGACCCGCUCCUGCCUGUAGGUGCAUGUGCCGGGUGCCUGUCUCAGACUGGUGUUUGGAAACGUGAUGAAUCGAGAAGGGAAAUACUGUCAAGGAAAAGUCACAAGUUUUUGUCUUUGGGGGCGGUGACUCCAUCACUGGGGACAGGCAGAUCCCUUGUUCCGGGAAAGUUGCCCGAAGGGUGUUCACUGCUGCUCCCGGGACAGAGGGGUGUCGGGGUGAUGGGCGCUUGCAGGGGUCCAGCCCCCCGACACUUGGGCCAGAGGUCUGCGUCUGAUGCAUGCUCGGUUCUGGGGUAAAUCUGUGAAUUUAACUGCUGUCCGUUCUGGGGUGCAGACUGUGUUCCCGUUCGGCCUCCCGAGGCCAGUGAAGGUGCUGCCCGGGCGUCCCGGGCACACUCACACCUCACCUGCGGGACACUGAGGCCAGGGCGCUGGCCACAGGGCUGUAGUGGCCGGGCCGUGUGACCGUGUGGCUGCCUCCUCACUGGACGGGAAGCAGCGUGAGGUCCGGGGCCCUGCAGCUGCCGCGGGUGCCUUCCAGGGGAAUCGGGAGACAGUAGAUGUGUUAUCACCCGAGGGACCUCAGGAGGGCCUCCUCCGGUGGGGACGGUGGGGGGGGGGGCUGUGGUUUCUCGGAAGAGGUGUCACCCUGGGAUGGGAGGCUCCAGGUUGGCCUGCGUAUCGGGGAACCUCUUUCUCCCCUGCAGGUUGGCCGGGCGUGCGUUGGGGCGGCCUGUGGCUCCGGGGUGGCCUUGUGCCAGGAGCCGGCUGGUCCGUGGCCUGUGUGGUGCAGGUCAGUGCGGCUGGGGCAGGAGCCACGCGUCUGAGCGUCGAAGGCCUGGACCACCUGCCUGCCAGUCGUGACCUCCCGUUUGUGUUUUCUGAACGCGAAAAGCGGCGCACAGAUAUGCACACCCAAACGCGGGAGUACCAAGCGCGGAGGGCAGAGCGCCCCGUGCCGAGUCCCCCAGAUAACCACUAUUCGCAAGUGAGUGUCUGCUCUCCCAAAUUUUAUGCACAUGCGAGCACGCUAUCAUUUCUUUUCAAAAACAAAACUAGGGUAGAAUUGUACGUACCGCUCAUCUUGUAACUUGUUUUCUGUCAUUGAAACGCAUGGACAUCUUCCCGUGAAAAUGCAGGUAAAUCUGCCUUGUUCUCCUGCACGUGGUCUGCCGUGCGGCUCUGCCGUGGCCAUGCGGUCGGUCCCUACUCUGGACAUCUGGGGGGUCCGGGUUUCUGUUUUGCCAACAGCGAAUGUCUCUGCGCACAUUUGUGGGAGUUUUUCUACAGGAUAAACCCCCAGAAGGGGAAGUGCUGGGUCGGAAGACACGACCGCUGCCUAUUUUAAACAGAGAGCGAAUUCCCUUCUGGAAGAGGGACAGCUCUGUGCUGCCACGGGCCGGUCAUGAGGAUGCUGGUCCCACCCUCCCGGUGUGGCUGGCCUGCGUCGUCCUUGCUGGCCUUGGCUCUUGUCUCUGGCGGUCCCUCCAUACCCAGCCUCUCUCCUUUUGCGCAUUAAUGUAUCCAGUACCAAGGUCUAGCUGUGACCUUGCCAGCUCAACAAACCCGUUCGUUCAAGGGGCGCCCCGGGACUCAGUUGGUUGAGCGUCCGACUUCGGCUCAGGUCAUGAUCUCACAGUUCGUGGGUUCGAGCCCCGAGUCAGGCUCUGUGCUGAGAGCCUGGCGCCUUGCUUGGGAUUCUGUGUCUCCCUCUCUCUCGCCCCCUCCCCUGCUUGUGCUGUGUCUCUCUCAAAAAUAAACAUAAAAAAUUUUUUUUGAAAAAAUUAAUCCAGUCAACAAACAGUCGGUGGCUGUUCAGUAAGCGCCCCGUUCAAGCACAGCGCUGAACGAAGACGGUGAGGUUCCCGCCGCCGUGGGGCUCCUUCUCCGUCAGGGGAUGCGGACAUCAAACGCACGAAGAAGCAAACGCCAGGCAGCCGUGGCUGCCGUCCUGAGCGCCGAUACGGGUGUGACGGCUGGGGGAGGGGGGCUGGCCGAGAAAAUAAUUUCCGGGGAAAACAAGGUCGGGAGUCGGGGGCAGCGUGUGCGGAGGCCGGAAGGCAGGAGGGAAGGCAGCCGGGGCGGGCGCUGGGCAGAGCGGGGGGCGAGGCCUGGGGGGGGCCUGGCCGGGUACAGGUUUUCGAGCUAGGGCAAGAGGUUUGAAUUUUAAGUGUGAAGAGAAGCCGUUGGAAGGUUUUCAUCAGGGCAGCGAUGUGACCCGAGUGGUUUUUGGAAGGUCACCCUCGCUGGGGAGGGAACAGGUAGCAGGGCAAGAGCCAAGCAGGGAGACCGUCCGGAGGGACCAGGGACCGAGGCGCCUCGGGCAGGAGCGCAGCUGUGCGGGGGGAGGGGAGCGGACGGACUUUGUAACGAGGUAGCACACGAGGUGAUGUGAUUUGCUGAGGAGGGGACACGGAGGGAGGAAUGGAUUUAGGGGUAGGGCGACAGGAGUCUGUUCUGCCCAAGACAAGGUUUGAGAGGCUCAUCAAACACCCACAGGGGGCCGCCCGGUAGGCGGUUGGGAACGGCGUCUGGAACCCCAGGAGACCCGGGCAGGAGACCCGGAGGUCUACAUUUGGGAGCCAGAAGCACAUAGAUGCAGUUUCCAACCCCGGGGACAGAAAGCGGUCCCCCCCCCCCCCCCCAGGGAGCGUCCAGAGAGGAGGAGGGCCCUGGGACAGAGCCCCGAGGUCCUCGAUGACGAUGACGCUGAAAGAUGAAACCAAGGAAGCGGUGCUUCUAAAGCCGGAGGCUUAGUAGAUGCAAAUCGAGACCCAAAGCAAGAGAAUAACCGCAUUCAAGGAGGGGAAGGUCGGUGGGCACCACGCUGGCGGCUCGGGUGGAAAAGGAGACAUUGAUGAUGCAGCAGAGGACAGGGGCCGGAGCCUGGUCUUAGGAGGGAGGAGGGUGGGAUCCGACUCGGGACCGGAGCAGGGACACCCCGCGUCCUCCUGGGUGGUGGUGGUGGGGGGGGCACCAAGGGCCGGACGGGUUCCUGCCAGAUUCCAUCCAGGUCUCCCCAGGACGCAAGAAGCAGAUCCUUGGUGUGGUGGUGCUGGCAUGGGGUGCUGGGGGGGCGAGGGAGGGAUGACGGGGGACACUUCCUCUCAGGGAGCCACCUGAGGCUGAUUUGCAACCGUCCCCAGACGUUUAUUCAGCGGGGAGCCUCUGCCCUUCUGCCAGGCCAGCUUUUCUGCUGCCGAAGGCUGCUCCUCCUCUCCCGUGGUGGGGCAUUCCCCUCCUCCUUCUGUCCGUUGGAGGGGCGUCCACCCCCCUUCCCUCCCUGCUCCUUCUCUCCCUCGGCGGGGCGCCCCCCUCCUUCUCUCCCUCUGCAGGGCAUAGGAGGUGGAAGGCAAGGGGUCUGGGACGGAAGGAGGAGAGGGGAGGCACGCUUGUGGGAUACAGCGGAGCCUCCCUGGCCCUGGGCGGGCAGGAGACGGGGCGGGGUGGGGGGGAAGGGGGGGGCACUGGGCAGGGCUGGACGGGAGCCGCCGUCUGUCCGUGGCCUCCUGGCUCUGUGGUUCCGGUGGGGCGGGCAGCAGGCAGGGGCGGUUGCAGGCGGGAUUUCGGCGUGGGAAAGGGAGCGGCUGCGGGGCCGGGUGACUGGGGUGGAACCCGAGUGCGAGUUCGGUUCCCAGGGAGCAGGUCGGAAGUUGCCCUUCCCCUGACCCCUUUCUGCCAGGAGCGGCUUUCCCACGGUCCCCAAGCCGAGCGGGGUCCCCUGCAGCCCUUGGCUCCCGCGCCGCCCUGCCAGCUGGGGGCUGUUUCUGCAGGUGGCUCUGGCCCAAGGUGAAUGCCAGCCUGUGGGAAGAGCACAGAGACUCCCCUUGAUUCUCCCCACUGCCAGCAGGGCGGCUGGUCUCCCUUCCCCGUGGAGGGAUUUGAGGCUCAGACCCCUCGCGUGACUUGCCCCAGGCCUCACGUUGGCAGCUGAGCCCCAACGUGGUCCCGGGGGGUUCCUAGAUUUCUGGGAGGACAGAAGUACUCUGCUGUUCUGGUGAGGUUUGCUGCCGUCUGCAUGCAGACUGGGUAAGCAGUGAAGAUGAUCUUCUGAGAAUUUGUGUAACGAGAGAGGCAGUGCAGGGCCCAGGAACUGGCCCCAAAAGCUUCAGUCAAGUCUCGCCUCCAGCAGAUAUUAGCCUUGUUGCCUUGAGCAAGCCAUUUCGGGUCUCCUCCUGCUACCUGGGGCCAGUAAUGCCCGCCCCUCCCCCGCCCGCCCGCCCCCAUUCCAGGGCUGCUGUGAAGUUCACAUGAGAUAAUGUGCUGGAACUCAUCAGCGGGAAGCUAACAGGCCACAUGGAAGGCUGGGGUUUGAUUUCAGCCCAAGAGAGAGAGGAUUGUUUUUCAAAAGGAAAAAGGAUUCAUUGUACUUACUUGGGGAUGUCAUGAUCACACGUGGAUUUGUUGUUGAGGUUGUUGGCUGUGAGACAAAGGCACACGGGGCUGUGGGUGAGGAGUGCCCAGGCUGGGAAAAUUCCAGGCCCCACCGGUCUUGGUCUCCAGGCCCUCCCAGGCAGGAGGCAGCUUGCAAGAUUGAAGACUCUGAAUGAUGGCACGGCUGGGUGUGUCCUUUGUCACGCCCUGGGGUUUCUCCGGCAGGUUCUCCUGACUUCUUUGCACUCACUUGGCCUGGCAGCGGCCCUCGGUGCCGGCUGGCUGAACGGAGAGGAGGCUGCCGGGCUGCCCUCAAGGUCACUUGGAGGUGACCGGCUGCCUGGCGGACUCAGCCCCCAUCACUCUUACCUUUCUUGGUUCUUCGUGAACUCGUACUCAUCUUAUAGAUCAAGGCUAAAGGACCUCCUCUCUGGAAAGACGCUCCCCCUGCCCCCCACUCUGCCGUGUUACCAGAUGCCAUUAAUGGCCUUCUUCUUUGCUCCCGGAUCAGUGAGGAUGCUUUUGGUUGCAGGUAAUGAAGGAAAAUGAAUUCCAAUAGACUUCUGCAAUAAAGAGGAUUCAUCAUCUCA